AACAUCGGUAGGUUGAUUUUCUAGGCACUUUAUAUAUAUAUAUAUAUCUUUCGACGUAAACCCGAAUAUGAGACAACGUAGAAUUUGAAUACACAUACACAAACACAAACGCAUUGCAACAUUUUGAUUUUUUAUUAAAAGAAUAAAUUCAGUCUCUGCUUUUACUCUUGUUUUACCUCCCAGAAUUGUAUGUUUAUUUAUAUUUUCUCUAACUUUUCAGCCAUGAUGUCUGAGAGACAUUUCAAAAUUGGCCUUCAACACUAAAUGCUUCUAUAGUACGUUUGCCCACGACAAUGCAGUUUGUUUAUAAAUUACAAUGGAAAACACGCUACAGUACAUAAACAUAUUGUCCUUUAAAUAGGUUUAAUUUUGCUAUGUGAAAAAAACAGAAAUGUCGUAUUAAUAAUGAAUAAGUAUAAAUGUACAGCUAAAUUUUCAAAUUUAUUAAAAAAUGUCUUCAGUUAAGACAAACAGUUUAACGGCGUGAAAAGCAGCGUCUUCUAUAUGUAAAAUAAAUUUGCAGAUUUUGGCACUUCUAUCACAUUCACUGGCUACCUAUAGAACAAUAG
RNAcentral lists this long non-coding RNA (569 nucleotides) under Mytilus galloprovincialis (Mediterranean mussel). Lineage: Eukaryota; Metazoa; Mollusca; Bivalvia; Mytilida; Mytilidae. The record is from RNAcentral.